GAAAGACCAGAUUACAAACGUAAAUAUAUUACCACUGAUUGAUCUUUUUUGUUGUCAAUGUAGCUUAUAGGAGACUCAUCUUAAGUCAAACUGCUUUAAUAGAACUAAAGCCAUGUCAGGGUUUGAACCGCUGUAAAGAUAUUCAAGUGGAAAUAUCCAGCAGAUAAUUAAGGUCUGGUGCUUAGAAGAGAGGUUGGAGCUUGGUCCUAAAGAUGAAGAUUUGGGACUAAGGAUUAAUAGCCCAGCCAUGACAACACAUACUUUGGCUAAGAAAUUAUGUGUACAUGUAUGUUUGGAAGAAGGAGAAAGGAAGAAAACAAGCUGGCAGAAAAUGGAUGUAACUCCAAAAUAUACCAAGUCCAAAUUUUGUUUGUUUGUUUGGCUUGAAGACGGAGAGGAAAAGAUGCAAACUGUCUAAUGGGCAGGUGGAAGAAAACCUAUUGUUUUUAUGUACAACUAAAGUACCAUUUGGUUUGGGAAAUUAGCCUUUCAAUUUGUGAUUAUGAUGUAAAAAGAAGUUCAG
Myotis brandtii (Brandt's bat) is the source of this 523-nucleotide long non-coding RNA. RefSeq lists it as uncharacterized. NCBI's taxonomy places the organism in Eukaryota, Metazoa, Chordata, Mammalia, Chiroptera, Vespertilionidae. The transcript has 2 exons. The record is from RefSeq and is a predicted model, not a curated record.